GGGGGAGAAAGAGAGAGUGGAAUAGACAGAGCAAGAGGGCUGAUUUUCUUGAGGUUAACAUCAGCAGCUGUCAUCUCUUCAUCACGGGAACAAAGUCACCUUGGCCUGGCUGGCCGGCACGCAGUGGACAGGUGACAGGAAGGUGCUGCGGGAGGCUGCAGGAGGACCUGAGCCCUAGGACCAUGCCUCAGGACUACCUGAGAUGGUGUCGCAACUUGAUCUCAUCUAUACAGAGGAGGAGAGGAGGAGAGGAGAUCAGAGGAGGAGAGGAGAUCAGAGGAGGAGAGGAGAUCAGAGGAGGAGAGGAGGAGAGGAG
Molecule: long non-coding RNA, 316 nt
Filed under: Salmo salar (Atlantic salmon)
Lineage: Eukaryota; Metazoa; Chordata; Actinopteri; Salmoniformes; Salmonidae
Description: lncRNA (ENSSSAG00000108391.1)
Source: RNAcentral